Molecule: ribosomal RNA, 468 nt
Filed under: uncultured bacterium
Lineage: Bacteria
Description: partial 16S ribosomal RNA
Rfam family: Bacterial small subunit ribosomal RNA
Source: RNAcentral
GACGAACGCUGGCGGCGUGCUUAACACAUGCAAGUCGAACGGAAAGGCCCUGCUUUUGUGGGGUGCUCGAGUGGCGAACGGGUGAGUAACACGUGAGUAACCUGCCCUUGACUUUGGGAUAACUUCAGGAAACUGGGGCUAAUACCGGAUAGGAGCUCCUGCUGCAUGGUGGGGGUUGGAAAGUUUCGGCGGUUGGGGAGGGACUCGCGGCUUAUCAGCUUGUUGGGGGGGUAGUGGCUUACCAAGGCUUUGACGGGUAGCCGGCCUGAGAGGGUGACCGGCCACAUUGGGACUGAGAUACGGCCCAGACUCCUACGGGAGGCAGCAGUGGGGAAUAUUGCACAAUGGGCGGAAGCCUGAUGCAGCAACGCCGCGUGCGGGAUGACGGCCUUCGGGUUGUAAACCGCUUUCGCCUGUGACGAAGCGUGAGUGACGGUAAUGGGUAAAGAAGCACCGGCUAACUACGUG